This 85-nucleotide transfer RNA is filed under the name Felis catus (domestic cat). It matches the Rfam family "tRNA". From Rfam's summary of the family: Transfer RNA (tRNA) molecules are approximately 80 nucleotides in length. Lineage: Eukaryota; Metazoa; Chordata; Mammalia; Carnivora; Felidae. The record is from Rfam by way of RNAcentral.
GCCUGGGUGGCUCAGUUGGUUAAGCGUCUGACUUUGGCUCAGGUCAUGAUCUCACACUUUGCGGGUUCGAGCCCCGCAACACGCU